GUGGGGAAUUUUGGACAAUGGACGAAAGUCUGAUCCAGCGACGCCGCGUGAAGGACGAAGGUUUUCGGAUUGUAAACUUCUUUUGCAGGGGAAAAAUACGCGCAAGCGUUUGAUUGUACUCUGUGAAUAAGCCACGGCUAACUACGUGCCAGCAGCCGCGGUAAUACGUAGGUGGCGAGCGUUACUCGGAAUUACUAGGCGUAAAGCGCGUGUAGGCGGGAGCUUAAGUCUGCUGUGAAAUCUAGUGGCUUAACCACGAGCGGCCGGUAGAUACUGGGCUUCUUGAAUUCGGUAGAGGUAACUGGAAUUCCAAGUGUAGCGGUGAAAUGCGUAGAUAUUUGGAAGAACGCCAAAGGCGAAAGCAGGUUACUGGGCCGCAAUUGACGCUGAGACGCGAAAGCUAGGGGAGCAAACAGGAUUAGAUACCCUAGUAGUCC
This 437-nucleotide ribosomal RNA is filed under the name uncultured bacterium. Its description in RNAcentral is "partial 16S ribosomal RNA". It matches the Rfam family "Bacterial small subunit ribosomal RNA", at positions 354 to 796 of the family's 1533-position model. The record is from RNAcentral.